Molecule: non-coding RNA, 2761 nt
Organism: Triticum urartu
Lineage: Eukaryota; Viridiplantae; Streptophyta; Magnoliopsida; Poales; Poaceae
Source: RefSeq, a predicted model, not a curated record
CUUUAAAAUUCUGUAGAAACUUUUGCCAGAACUGAUGUGCAUACUUUUUGUCCUGGGACUAUUUUGAUUAUUUACAUGUAAAGUGUUCAUACUCUUUUCUGUAUACUCUUAUCUUUCAUGUUGUUUCUUUCUAACAUCAUCACUCCAGCGGAAGAUGCCGUGCAUCAUGUAAUGUAGCAACACCAAGAAGGCCACCAUCAAGGCGAAGCUGCAAACACACAGAGCAGGUCUCGACUCCAAACCUAUUUGUUAUUUAUUCACAGAUCCCAUAAACAUUUUCUUAGUAAUUUGAGAUUUGUAAAUAUAAUGCCUUAGUUUACAAGUCUGUUGCAAGAGGAUGUGUAGGUGUAGCAUCCUUUUUGUUUUCAAUGUUUGACUUCAUUCUCAUAUGGCUUUGGUGCUUAGAUUAUGCUUACAACUCAAGCCGGUUUCACCUGAAUUUAUCAUACAACGUGGAACUAAUUAGAGCUGAGUUCUUGAUGCUUACUUUGUGCAACUGAAGAAUAAAAUAACUUAAGUUCCAUCUGUGUCCCUGCUCCUUUUUGCAACGUUUGGUUUUGUUCUCUUCAACAUUAUUUGCUUCAACACGAUAUCAGUUUAGCUAAAUGAUUGGAUCAGAGUAAAAAUGGAGUUACAGCAAUGGUCCGUGAUGUCCUUUUCUGCCAUGUUGGUUCCAUGUAUUUUGUUGCAUUCCUUUUGUUAGAAUUCUGCAUGCUCUUUUGCUUUGUUGUGAAAAUUCUAGCUGUGUGUGGGCCUGUGGCAUAAGCUUUUCUUAUGGGAUGUGGUGAAGUUUCUGCUCCUCUGGAAGGUAUCGUGUUAUUUCCAGUGAGGUGCAUACGUUGACAGUAGUUUUGACAAGUAAUGGCUUUUUAUAAUUAUUCAUAUGGUAAUUGCUAGGAACUUUGAGCUUCCAGUUCUAAGAGAGGCAUUUGUAUUUACUUAAUUUAGCCUUCAAUUUGUUUCGCUUCAUUGCAAGAAAUUUCUGAUGCAAAAAUGGAUUUCCUCCUACAUUUUCCUCAGCAGCCGCCACACUUUCUUUUGAGUUGCGACAAUCGAAAAGUGCAUCAGAGAAGCCCCCAUAACUGCUCUUAUUGCAAAUAAGACCAUUGUGCGUCAUUAGAUACACAAUGAUGGAUAGUUUCUAGCACAUCUUGGAAUAUAAUUAUUAUUUUCCUGCCUACAAUAGAGUGGCAUUUGUCCAUGAAGAACAGAGUGCGUGUAGCGCAAGAUAGGAUGUACGUGUAUGUUUUGAUGUACGGAAACAAUGAAGAAAACCAUGAAGCUGUAGAUGUAUAAUUUUUUUGGUUUUUCAAGAUUAUUGGUUGAUGCAAAUAUUUAGUUUGUGUUCCGAUGGAUUGUCUCCAAAUGUUGCUAAUAUUUUAUGGACUAUAGGCAAAGAACAUCUUAUGCCUAGCCCGUACAUUCUCAUCGACUAUAUUCACCGUUGUACUGGUAUAUGUUGUUUAUACGCAUUUUGUUGGCAUGAUCCAACAUUCCUAGAAAAGGGUAAGUAUAGUGUCCUGUCAUGCUAGAUGCUUGCUGUUUGGCUUUAAUCAAGAACUUUAUUUUUUACUUUGCUGCUCAAUUUUUUAGGUACAGUAAUGGCUUGUAGAUAAGCAUAACGAUAUUGGUUAUCUGUUGUUGAUUCUUCCCCCCUUUUCUGUUGCAGUAAGCACAAAAUUUUUGCUACGAUUUCCCUUUCUUCCUGUCUUUGCAAUGUUAAUCAAGAUUUUGUAUUAAUGAGCCUUGUCUAACGCUAAUGCCUUCUUGCAAUGUGUAGUUGCCAUGAUAGCUAACUUUGCAUAUCUUUUUGUGCCUGCUUGCAAGCCGGCCUCACUCCUGUCAAGCAUAUCACUGUCUUGGGGGAAGACUGCAACCCUGAAAAAUGCAUAUCAGUCUAAGUCAAGAGCGGUCAAUGAGCUUUUCAAUAUGGUCAUUGGUUGACAACGGAGUAGCUAUUGAACUGAAGUAGAAACAUUUCCAGUUCUCCACAAGCUGAUGCAGGUCUGCACCAUGACAGAUACUUUGGCAUUGUGCGGAGCCUGGGUGGUUAUAUGCAUACCAUCGCUACUAUUCAUAUGCCUGUGUUGAAUGGUGUACUUACACUCUUCUCCAAAGGUGUCUCUGACAACAGGCAUGUGUAGAUCUAGAAUUGUUCCAGUGGACCUGUUCAGGACCCUGUACUUGUAUCUGCAGACACCAAAAGGCGCCCCGGUUUGUCACCCAGAUAGGUGAAAAAGUAUUAAUGUAAACCAAAGAAGUGCCAUCAUCUGUCACCCACUCACCCUGCUAGCUCACAAAAGGUUGGCACUGCUCCCACUAAAGAAUGCGGAUUAUUCUGUGUCAUGGACUGCGGCUGUAGAUCUUUGUUCAGUAAACUGGCGUGACAAUGGUGAACAAAAGAAAAACUUAGGUUAAUGCUCUGGUCCAGAUUAGGUACAUGUCCCACCAGUGAAGUACUUUUAAUUGAUUGGCAACAGCUUUUCAGGCACAUUAGGGAUAACACUUGCUAGCUUACAAUAGGAUGGGUAUACAAAAAGCACACUAUCAUUACACAGUUUCUUCAGGGGUUUGCUUCUGUUCACGUCUCAGAAUGCAUGCGUGAUUGAGGAGAGCCUAGACAUGAGUAAGGAAUUAUUCUCCUCCUUGCGCAAGCCGUUCCAUGUGCACCUUGACACUGUCUGAUGGCGCGAUAUAGAUGAUGGUCUCGCCUCAGAAUUCGGCCACCACCUUCCAGCGGAGAACCUCAUUUUCUAUCUUC